UUGUAAAGCACUUUAAGCGGGGAGGAAGGCCUGAUGGCUAAUAUCCAUCGGGAUUGACGUUACCCGCAGAAUAAGCACCGGCAAACUUCGUGCCAGCAGCCGCGGUAAUACGAAGGGUGCGAGCGUUAAUCGGAAUUACUGGGCGUAAAGCGCGCGUAGGUGGUUAAGUAAGCGAUCUGUGAAAGCCCCGGGCUUAACCUGGGAACUGCAGGUCGAACUGCUUGGCUAGAGUAUGGUAGAGGGGUGUGGAAUUUCCUGUGUAGCGGUGAAAUGCGUAGAUAUAGGAAGGAACAUCAGUGGCGAAGGCGACACCCUGGACCGAUACUGACACUGAGGCGCGAAAGCGUGGGUAGCGAACAGGAUUAGAUACCCUGGUAGUCCACGCCGUAAACGAUGUCUGCUAGCCGUUGGGGGGGCUUGUCCCUUCAGUGGCGGAGCUAACGCGAUAAGCAGACCGCCUGGGGAGUACGGCCGCAAGGUUAAAACUCAAAUGAAUUGACGGGGG
Molecule: ribosomal RNA, 505 nt
Filed under: uncultured bacterium
Lineage: Bacteria
Description: bacterial SSU rRNA
Rfam family: Bacterial small subunit ribosomal RNA
Source: RNAcentral